RNAcentral lists this ribosomal RNA (497 nucleotides) under uncultured bacterium. RNAcentral's name for it is "partial 16S ribosomal RNA". It matches the Rfam family "Bacterial small subunit ribosomal RNA", at positions 28 to 507 of the family's 1533-position model. The record is from RNAcentral.
GACGAACGCUGGCGGCGUGCCUAAUACAUGCAAGUUGAGCGAUGAAGAUUGGUGCUUGCACCAAUUUGAAGAGCAGCGAACGGGUGAGUAACGCGUGGGGAAUCUGCCUUUGAGCGGGGGACAACAUUUGGAAACGAAUGCUAAUACCGCAUAACAACUUUAAACAUAAGUUUUAAGUUUGAAAGAUGCAAUUGCAUCACUCAAAGAUGAUCCCGCGUUGUAUUAGCUAGUUGGUGAGGUAAAGGCUCACCAAGGCGAUGAUACAUAGCCGACCUGAGAGGGGUGUCGGGCACAUUGGGAACUGGAAACCGGCCCAAAUUCCACGGGAGGCAGCAGUAGGGAAAUUUUGGGAAAUGGAGAAAGUCUGAACGGGCCAAGCCGCGUGGGUGGAGGAGGGUUUUCGGUCGUAAAAACCUGUUGGUUGAGGAAAAAGGUGGUGAGAGGUGAAAGCCUAACCAGUGACGGUAACUACCCAGAAAGGGACGGCUAACUACGUG